This 519-nucleotide ribosomal RNA is filed under the name uncultured bacterium. RNAcentral describes it as "bacterial SSU rRNA". It matches the Rfam family "Bacterial small subunit ribosomal RNA", at positions 8 to 518 of the family's 1533-position model. The record is from RNAcentral.
AGAGUUUGAUUAUGGCUCAGGAUGAACGCUAGCUACAGGCUUAACACAUGCAAGUCGAGGGGCAGCAUUGGAGUAGCAAUACUCAGAUGGCGACCGGCGCACGGGUGAGUAACACGUAUCCGAACCUGCCGCUUACUCGGGGAUAGCCUUUCGAAAGAAAGAUUAAUACCCGAUGGUAUAAAGAGUUCGCAUGUUCUCUUUAUUAAAGAAUUUCGGUAAGCGAUGGGGAUGCGUUCCAUUAGAUAGUUGGCGGGGUAACGGCCCACCAAGUCUACGAUGGAUAGGGGUUCUGAGAGGAAGGUCCCCCACAUUGGAACUGAGACACGGUCCAAACUCCUACGGGAGGCAGCAGUGAGGAAUAUUGGUCAAUGGACGAGAGUCUGAACCAGCCAAAGUAGCGUGAAGGAUGACUGCCCUAUGGGUUGUAAACUUCUUUUAUAAGGGAAUAAAGUGAGGGACGUGUCCCUUUUUGUAUGUACCUUAUGAAUAAGGAUCGGCUAACUCCGUGCCAGCCGCCGC